GGAGGUGGUGAUGGCACCGGCGGCGGAGGCGAUCGCGUCUGGCGAGGUGUUCCACACCGGACCUUAUCCGGCGAGGGAAAUCCACGUCACCGCCCACAGGGAAUCCGAGGAACCUGUGUACGAAUCCUGCGUGAGGUUGGCAGAAUCCGGGGACGGGACGAAGCGGGCGUCACGUCACGGGUGACGAACGCCUGCCCCGAUCCAGAGGGGUUACCCGUCCGCUGCCGACGCAGUAUUUUCGCGUGGUCUCGGACGGCUCGAGCGCGCCCGCCGUCGGGCGUCCGCGUUGCCUGCCGGAGCAGUUCCGCUGGUUUGGCCCACGCCCCACCAAACGUCCCGCUCCGAGCGGAUCUAACCCACCUGUCGCCAAACUGAAACGAUGGACGCCGGUUUCGAGUGCAAGGUCGAGGGAGGGGUUGGAAUCGUGAGCGGGACGAUGAUGACACCAACGUAUCGGUUCAGAUCUAGGUUAUUUUCGCAGUGAAUCGAAGUCCGACCCUGAGAAGAGAUGUGGAGAUCUCCACGAUGAACAUGUAAGAUCACAUCCAGACAUAUAUUCGGCAUUUUUUUUUUUAUAUUUGAAUGAAUUUAGGUUCAAACGAUUCGAUUUGACAUUCAAUUUUUUUGCGAGAGCAAAUGUACGAAGAAUUUGGAUCAUGAUUUCUAUAGGACUGAAUCAUUCACCAUGUUAUUUUAAGGGUGAUGAUGCCUUACCCAUGCGACAAAAGAGACGUUGAUUAUACGAUGAAUGGUAAAGUGUCAAUUAUAAUGAUAAUGAGAUGUCAAUCACACAGUAAUUUCAAUAGUCUCCACAGUGUC
Molecule: long non-coding RNA, 819 nt
Filed under: Musa acuminata (dwarf banana)
Lineage: Eukaryota; Viridiplantae; Streptophyta; Magnoliopsida; Zingiberales; Musaceae
Description: long non-coding RNA (MACU_LNC001300)
Source: RNAcentral